RNAcentral lists this transfer RNA (73 nucleotides) under Sellimonas intestinalis. Its description in RNAcentral is "tRNA-Val". It matches the Rfam family "tRNA". From Rfam's summary of the family: Transfer RNA (tRNA) molecules are approximately 80 nucleotides in length. Their secondary structure includes four short double-helical elements and three loops (D, anti-codon, and T loops). The record is from RNAcentral. Lineage: Bacteria; Bacillati; Bacillota; Clostridia; Lachnospirales; Lachnospiraceae.
GGGGGCUUAGCUCAGCUGGGAGAGCAUCUGCCUUACAAGCAGAGGGUCAUAGGUUCGAGCCCUAUAGGCCCCA